CCUGGCAAAAGCAUUGACAAAAGCCCUGGCAAAAGCCCUCACAAAAUUCAUGCACUUGUCCCUGGCAAAAUCCAUUUGAAAAUCCCUGGGAAAAGACUUGGCAAAAUCCCUG
This is a long non-coding RNA of Strigops habroptila (Kakapo), 112 nucleotides long. RefSeq lists it as uncharacterized. NCBI's taxonomy places the organism in Eukaryota, Metazoa, Chordata, Aves, Psittaciformes, Psittacidae. The record is from RefSeq and is a predicted model, not a curated record. The transcript has 3 exons.